AGCGAACGCUGGCGGCAGGCCUAACACAUGCAAGUCGAACGAACUCUUCGGAGUUAGUGGCGGACGGGUGAGUAACACGUGGGAACGUGCCUUUAGGUUCGGAAUAACUCAGGGAAACUUGUGCUAAUACCGAAUGUGCCCUUCGGGGGAAAGAUUUAUCGCCUUUAGAGCGGCCCGCGUCUGAUUAGCUAGUUGGUGAGGUAAAGGCUCACCAAGGCGACGAUCAGUAGCUGGUCUGAGAGGAUGAUCAGCCACAUUGGGACUGAGACACGGCCCAAACUCCUACGGGAGGCAGCAGUGGGGAAUCUUGCGCAAUGGGCGAAAGCCUGACGCAGCCAUGCCGCGUGAAUGAUGAAGGUCUUAGGAUUGUAAAGUUCUUUCACCGGGGACGAUAAUGACGGUACCCGGAGAAGAAGCCCCGGCUAACUUCGUG
RNAcentral lists this ribosomal RNA (433 nucleotides) under uncultured bacterium. RNAcentral's name for it is "partial 16S ribosomal RNA". It matches the Rfam family "Bacterial small subunit ribosomal RNA", at positions 29 to 507 of the family's 1533-position model. The record is from RNAcentral.